Molecule: ribosomal RNA, 443 nt
Filed under: uncultured bacterium
Lineage: Bacteria
Description: partial 16S ribosomal RNA
Rfam family: Bacterial small subunit ribosomal RNA
Source: RNAcentral
CCUACGGGUGGCUGCAGUGGGGACUAUUGGUCAAUGGGCGCAAGCCUGACCCAGCAACGCCGCGUGAAGGAAGAAUGCUUUCCGGUUGUAAACCUCUUUUCUCAGAGACGAAGCAAGUGACGGUACCUCAGGAAUAAGCCACGGCUAACUACGUGCCAGCAGCCGCGGUAAUACGGAGGUGGCGAGCGUUAUCCGGAUUUACUGGGUGUAAAGGGCGUGUAGGCGGGUACGCAAGUCAGAUGUGAAAACGACGGGCUAAACCUGUGGACUGCAUUUGAAACUGUGUUUCUUGAGGACUGGAGAGGCAGACGGAAUUCCUGGUGUAGCGGUGAAAUGCGUAGAUAGUAGGAGGAACACCAGUGGCGAAGGCGGUCUGCUGGACAGCAACUGACGCUGAGGCGCGAAAGCGUGGGGAGCAAACAGGAUUAGAUACCCGAGUAGUC